AGGGUUUCACGAUUCAUAGCCAUUAAGAGAAGAGUGACAUACUAGAUUGGAUUACAAACAUUGAUUAUUCUGAUUUUGUUUGAUCCAUAUACUAUUAUUUCCCGAUCUGUGACUGGUUCGAUUUAGAAUUACGUAUCGGUCUGUUCGUUUAUAGUAAAGCGUUUGGGGUUAGGGUUUUAGAAAUCAGUGAUUUGUGUCUUGUUUUGUAUAUAAACGAAUCUAUGGCCGCAGGAAGGCAUGGGGGUUACUACAAUGAAUUUAGGGAGAAUGAGGCUGAUUUUGAUGCAUCCAAGAGGGAAAUUCCUUAUUCUAGAGAUGAGUAUGAACGCUUAAAGAAUGGUGGCAGUCAAGAUUAUGAGAGGGGUAGGAACAGGGCUCGUGAUGGCAAAGACAGGGGUAGAGUUAGACAGAGGGAUGUCAAAGAAAGAGAGUUGGUGACCGGUGGGGGUUAUCAGUCUGCUUCUAGUAGGAGUGAUUCAGGAGGUAGUGGUGGUGAUGGAGGUUUGAGGCAUCGUGAAUACCCUGUUAGAGUCAGGGAUCGGGAACCUGGGGAGUUGUCUAGUGACAGUGGGUCUGAUGAGGCCGUUGAUUUGGAAAUACAUGGUAAAAAUGAUAAGGGUUCUAGGAUAGAGGAAGCUGCCCGUUCUCAUUCUCAUUCUCCGAUCAAGAAGAGGAAGUUCUCACCUAUUGUCUGGGAUAGAGAUGACAAGGAAGUGGGUAAUAUAUCUAAGAGUAGGUUUUCUACAGCAAAUACUACUGUUGCUAUGCCACCGGUGCCCAAGUCUCAUCGGCAAUCGCCUGAUCCUGUUCCUCCAGCUGUUGUACAGAUUUCCACCCUAGAAAAGGACAAGCUUCAGACUGCUGAGCAAUCUCCAGGUAAUACCCCUGUUGAUAUUGGGACACAUGAGUCUUAUGGUUUUGCGCAUGCUGGUCUAUCUUCUUCCCCACUUCAGAGAGAGCAUGUGGACUUAUCUUCUUUACCUGCCCAGGAAGAGCGUCUUGUCUAUGUUCAGAAUGCAGGGCAACCAGAAGAUGAGGAUUAUGCGCCUGCGCACAAUAUAAGAUCAUCUCGAUGGGCAAAUGAUGUCAAUUCUCCAGCCGAUGAAGGUGAAGUUUCUGAUGCAUUGGGCAACCACAGGAUUCAGAAGAGGCAAAAAAUUCCUUCUGGAUCUGAUCAUCUUGGAUCGGAAAAGAAGUCAUUGAGCCCAGAGAUUGGGGAGCUUCACAGGGAAGGCUCUGAAGGAACUAGAACACGAUCAUCUGAGUCCUAUGAAAAUGGGUAUCAUAUUAGGGCUUCAAGUAGUGAUGACUACUCGGAGAAGGAGUUGGCAAGGAAGGACUACAUGGAGAUAGAUGAGGAUCACAGUAGUGGUCGCCCUAGUGUCAGCCAGUCAUAUACCGAUUCCGAGAGCGAAGAUGGCUCUUGUGGUACACCACAGACUGCUCUCCCUCCUCAAAGAAGUGUAAAUAUGCUACAAGGUUGUAGAAGUGUUGAUGAGUUUGAGAGAUUGAACAAGAUAGAUGAAGGCACUUAUGGGGUUGUCUACAGGGCCAAAGAUAAAAAAAGUGGAGAAGUUGUUGCUUUAAAAAAGGUGAAGAUGGAGAAAGAAAGAGAAGGAUUUCCUUUGACUUCAUUGAGGGAAAUAAAUAUCCUUCUUUCAUUUCAUCACCCUUCAGUGGUAGAUGUGAAGGAAGUGGUGGUUGGCAGUAAUCUUGACAGCAUUUUUAUGGUGAUGGAAUACAUGGAACAUGAUCUUAAGGCAUUGAUGGAGACAAUGAAACAACCUUUUAGUCAAAGUGAAGUUAAAUGCCUUAUGCUCCAGCUUUUAGAGGGAACAAAGUAUCUCCAUGACAAUUGGGUUCUUCACCGAGAUUUGAAGACAUCAAAUUUACUCCUAAAUAAUCGUGGUGAGUUAAAGAUUUGUGACUUUGGAUUAUCUCGUCAAUACGGAAGCCCUUUAAAACCCUACACUCAUUUGGUGGUGACUCUUUGGUACAGGGCACCGGAACUUUUGUUGGGAGCAAAACAGUAUUCUACUGCAAUUGACAUGUGGUCAUUGGGUUGUAUCAUGGCUGAAUUGUUAUCAAAGCAACCUUUGUUCAACGGAAAAACAGAGUUUGAUCAGCUUGACAAGAUUUUCAAAACCCUUGGCACACCAAAUGAGGCUAUUUGGCCUGGGUUUUCUAAACUUCCUGGAGUGAAGUUGAACUUUGUCAAGCACCAGUAUAAUUUAUUACGUAGAAAAUUCCCUGCAACAUCUUUCACCGGAUCACCGGUUCUAUCUGAUGCUGGGUUUGACUUGCUGAACAAACUUCUAACUUACGACCCUGAAAAGCGGAUAACAGCGGAAGUGGCUCUUGAACAUGAGUGGUUUCGUGAAGUCCCUCUUCCCAAGUCCAAAGAUUUUAUGCCCACUUUUCCUGCUCAUCAUGCACAGGACAGGCGUACACGUAGGGUAAUGAAGAGUCCUGAUCCCUUGGAGGAGCAGCGUCGGACGGAAUUGCAGCAAGCCAAAUUAGGGACAGUUUUGUGCAGUACUAAAAAUGACAUUGUCGAGGUGAAAGCCCAUGUAGCGGAAGGAAUUGGCAACAUUUGCAGUGAGGUGAUCAUCACUCAUGCUGCUUUUAGUAGGCACCCUUCAUGAUCUGGGCGCGGAGAUAUUUUUGCUUCUGCUUCCUGACCUGAUACAUAGCCAGGUUGACUUGCAAGGUGGUUGGUGUAGCAUGGAGAGGCAUUGUUUGCUUGUCAUUGAUGGAGUAUUUAACAGAAAGUUAUGCAGUUUGAAGUAUCAAAGUGAGGAGGUUACCUGUGCAUCCAGAAUCUUGUAAAAUUUCCAUUUAAUUUUCCAUUCUUCAGGUACUUUUUGUUCAUCCAUUCUUAUCGAUGUAUCUAUUAACGUGGAAAAUGUGUAUGAUCUACUUGACUACAUUUUCAUCUUUACCUGCCGGAAGCUUCUUAGUUUUUAGGAAUGACAUGAUUUCUACCUGCAUCUGAAACACUGGUCUCUCUUAAAUCAUGAAAUUUGUAGAGGGACAAUUUUUAUAACAAGAACACGUAUGUUACUUAGGGAUCUCAUGUUCUGAAGCAUGAAUUCAUAUUAAUUGGUAAAAAAAAAAUACAAAGGUGCUGUUCUGAAUUAAAACAAUGUGUUCUACUCUCUAGCUUUAGGAAACACAUGAUCCAUACAUGCAUCAAAAUCUAACGAGAAGUUUAUAUAGUGCUUCAUUAUAUUAUAAAAAAACUUGUUUUUUUUGUUAAUCCCUAUCAGGAACAUGCUUUAAACUUAAGAUAUAACAUAUGCCCCACUAUAUAUGUCCAGCAUUAACUUGAUAUCGUUGCAACUGACGUGCAAUUGUAUGUAGCAGUGUAGCACUACAAUUUCUCAUUGAUAUAUGCAAUUGCUGGUUCGACUUUCAACAACUGAUUUGAUUAGGUUGUGCCUUCA
This is an RNA transcript of Cynara cardunculus var. scolymus (artichoke), 3446 nucleotides long. It is a transcript of the gene named cyclin-dependent kinase G-2-like, with no coding region annotated. NCBI's taxonomy places the organism in Eukaryota, Viridiplantae, Streptophyta, Magnoliopsida, Asterales, Asteraceae. The record is from RefSeq and is a predicted model, not a curated record. The transcript has 9 exons.